RNAcentral lists this long non-coding RNA (517 nucleotides) under Homo sapiens (human). RNAcentral's name for it is "HSALNT0321744". The record is from RNAcentral. Lineage: Eukaryota; Metazoa; Chordata; Mammalia; Primates; Hominidae.
GUACAAAGCAAACUUCUAAUGCACUGCUGGUUUACAUUUCCUGUAUUUUCAGUCUAAACAAAAAUAAAAAGAACAAAACAGCUAAAAUGAUGAGGGAAAGCACAGAUCAUUCCUAAACAGUCAAUUCUAGAGCCAGUCCUUCAGUUCAAGAAUAACUCAACAGCCUAGAGAGAAGAAAAUAAGAAGCUAUAGUGAACAAAAGAAGAAAAAUGAAAAGGUGACCACCAGGAGAAUGAAGUAUAUUGGAGAAGUGCUGAUGGAUUUAUUAGUUUCAAAAUUUUUUACACUUAUUGAAAAUUCUCAAGUUUUGGCUUUUAACGCUUAAGUACAUUGAUUGUUGUUAAAUCCCAGGUAAAGAAUCCCUUCUUAAAAAGAUGUUUCAUUCAGUAAUACUUUAUGUGAUUAUUAAAAUAACUGUGAAAAUUUUAACAACAUAGAGAAAUACUUUUGAAAUUACAUUAAAGGUGUGGUGGUUCAUGCCUAUAAUCCCAACACUUUGGGAGGCCAAGGUGGGUGG